This 9922-nucleotide long non-coding RNA is filed under the name Heterocephalus glaber (naked mole-rat). Its description in RNAcentral is "lncRNA (ENSHGLG00000043817.1)". The record is from RNAcentral. Lineage: Eukaryota; Metazoa; Chordata; Mammalia; Rodentia; Bathyergidae.
GGAGAAUAAAAAAGGCGGCGGCAGGCUCUCUGAGAGGCUCCCGACUCUAUCUCUGCGUCUUUUUCUUCAUCCUCACUCCCCCAUUCAGGUGCUGUUCGACAAGUGAUGGCUGGCUCCGUCACGGGUGGUGCCCGAACAGGGACUUGAAUACGGGGGACCAUAGUGAAGGACACCGUGGAUCGUGAGCUUGGAUAAGACGCUGAAGGUGCCAGGUGGCUGCCUGAAAGAUGGUUUGCGGGAAAUUCUCCUGCCCCUCAGGAUGAUCCCGACAACUGUCCUGCUGAUAAAUCUAAUGAUGAUGCUUAAUGAGAAGGUUUAUUGGACUUAUGUACCUGAUCCACCUGUUGUACAUCCAACGAGCUGAAAAAAUGGAGAAGUAAUGGUAUGGGUGAACAAUACCAGGCUGUUGCAUGAGCCGGCGGCCCCUGACAAGAACGAGGUCCGAUUGUUCAACUACACGGGAUCAGAAACCGGAACCCCCAUAUGUUUCUCCAAAAUCAACAGAACUGAUCGAAUAAGACUGAGUGCUCGCACCCUGGCAGGAAGGCAGGUAGAUCAGUGCAAAGGCGGGAUCACUGGAGUCCAUCUACAUCUACCUGUGGGUAUGGAGACCACUGGUGUAGUUAGUGCCUCUGACUUUUAAUGCUCCAAUAAGACUAUUCCAUGGAAGAGAUGUGUGGCGGAUGCCUCUGUGAGAUACAAUAUUACUGGAUUUGAUACUUAUGUUUUAGACUGGUCUGAAAAUUCUUGUCAUCCCAAAAGAAAUGUCGCUGCAUAUGUCAUGCGCUCUUAGGUAUUGCUUGUAGGAAAUAUUAGUGUUCAGAAAGAUUAUGAUUAUUAUAAUGUAAUUUACUUCAAUUGUCAAAUAAGCAAUUGUGUCACCCGAACAGAAAAUCAGAUAAUGGUUUUGCGAAUGUGUUCUUAGAUUUGGAUAUUAUAGAUCUCCAAAAUGCAGAACCCCUAAAAUUUGAUGCAGCCCAGGCUGCACAGGAUUUUAUCGAACAAAUUAGAAAAGUUCUGCCAUCUACAUCUGCAUUUAUGCGGUAACUCAUUUCCAUAGUAAUUAUUGGAGGAGGGCUGCCUCUUAGAUGCAUGAUCCUUCCAGCACUACUACAGAUGUUUAUGCAUUCUUUAAUGAGGAUGGCUGGAAGUAUUCAUGGUCUACAAUUACAUGCUACACCGCCUAAACCCAUGGUGUAAUUCCCUGCAGAGGCUGACAGUCAAUGACGGGUAAGAGGAAUACAGGAAAUCACCAACCUAAGACAGAGCAAGAGUACUGUGAUGCUCUUGACUCCAUGAUGGGUAAGGGAUUUCUUUAUAUUCCUCACCUAAGACAGGCACAGCCUAUCUGCGUGAUCAAGGGACCUUGAUCAUAAUAUAUAAAAUGGGGAGAUGUGGAGAGCGGUGUUAGCCAUAGAGGCUCCGUGUUAAAUCUCACUCUCCAUUGUAUAGAGCAAGGAGACUGUUACGAGGAACCGCGUCCUUGCCAAAUUAGAUGUUUACCUUCAGAAAUUGUCCUGGAACAUGAUGAACAUUUUGUAAACCCGAGAAACGAGAAAGCCCAUGAGGGUGGGGAAUUUCCAAAGAACUAGAGAACAAGGAAGCAGGUGUCUUUGAUAAGGGUCAUGAUUAAUAACCAAAUUCACCUGUGAUAAAAAGGGGAGGAGAAUAAAAAAGGUGGCAGCAGGCUCUCUGAGAGGCUCCCGACUCUAUCUCUGCGUCUUUUUCUUCAUCCUCACUCCCCCAUUCAGGUGCAGUUUGACAAGUGACGGCUGGCUCCUUCACUGAAGUGCUUUGGAAAGUGUUCACAUAUCCGUGGUAAAAGCACCAUAGUCUUGAUCAGGGUUCCAAUGGGAAACACAUAGGUGAACCCAGGAGAAUUUAAUAGAGGGAUUGUUUUUGAAAGUGGAAAUAUCGGAACCACUCUUUUUUUUUUUUUUUUUUUGGUACUGGGGAUCGAACUCAGAUCCUUGCGUUUGCGAGGUAGGCAGAGGAACCACUGCGCUAAAUCCCCAGCCCAGAACCACUCUUGAACUCUCUGGAUGAGCAGUCAGUCAUAGGGUCAAGAGGAUGAAGACAAGCUUCAAACAUCUGCACCUUAAACGUUCCUGUCCAUGCUGGGGUUUGUUCCCAAGUUCUUGAGGGUGAAAAGCACCAUGCAUGGCAGAGGAUAGAAAAAGGCAUUGUUUGUGGAGGGUAUACAGACUGUGAGCCUCCGUGGUGCAGGACGGAGCUGGGGUGGGACAAUGCAGGGCUGGGUCAGGGAUAUAGGCCUCCAUUUACACUCUUGCCUUGGGCCUACCAGUGUUAGGCAUGGACCCGUAUAAAGUAAGGAGAAACUAACAAGAGAUAGAACAGUACCCCAAGCUAGCAACCAAGAAACCAUGAUUAACCCUAGGCCUAAAGGACCAAACAGAGAGGGCAGCUUCCAGAAUCCAGGAGCUGUGGGAGAAAGCUACCGCUAGGAGCUCCAGUCUUUGGCUUGUGAAUGGAACUGACUCCAGGGAAGAUCUCCAGGCAGUCAAGGUUAUUUACACCAAGUUCAUUCUCCUCUGGCUCACUGAAAUCCUGACAGCCCCCUCCCCUACCCCACACCAGUCCUAACCAGAAUCAUGAAGGGUGAGGGAAUGUUAAAGCAGUCCACAAAGGCCAACCCUCACAAGGCAAAGAGGAAGAGUGCAGCUGGAUCUGGAGUAUUAAAUGGUAGGCAUCAUCCAUUCUACUAAAAAGAGUAAUGUAGUAUGUGAGUAAGCAGCUGGGACUGCGGAAGAGCAAAAAUGUUACCUCAGCACUGAAAAAAAGCAUUGGUACCUCUCUUCUCUGGAUACUUAGUUUUUAUCUAUCUGUACCUCUUUCUUUCUAUUCCUUCCUCCGACUAAGUUUAUCUCCUUGACCAAAUUUAGGUUCCCUCGAGCUCUUUUCUCAACUAGGCCCUGAGUUUUGGGCUUCUGUGUUAAUCUUUUCAUUGUGCAAUUUUAGCAAGAAUCCUGCUAAGUCAGUGUGACCAGUAUCUCCUACCCUACAUAUCUCACCUCUCUUGAUAUUUGAUCAGGUUCCUUAUCCCUUCUUCGUUCACGUGAUGCCCGAUUGCUUUGGUCUGUCUUCCUCAAGAUUCCUGUUAGGUGGAUUUUGCCAGAUCUCCCAUAUCACUGAUGUUUCUGCUUAGCAUUUUCCGUCUACUGAUGCCCAACCUGCUCCUUGGCUAUAAUUCUCAUUUUUCCUUAUUGAGUUCAGGAUUGAGCCCAACCCGUCUCCCUUAUUUCAAAACCCCACUGCAGUAUUUCCUAUGCCUAUGGCAAGGGUCCUAAUAACAGAGAAUUAUAUUAUUGAUUUGUGUGUUUACUAUAUUACAUACAUGAUUGGGGGGCACUAGGAAUUGAACCCACAGACUUGUGCAUGGUAGGUAUAGCCCUCUACCGCUGAACUAUACCCCAGCACCUCUUGUUAAAAAAUAAAGUUUGGUGUAAGACAGCAUACUACAAGUCCCUAGUGACUAAUAAUGCUUAGCACAUUUUCAUGUGUUUAUUGGCCAUUUUUCUAUCUUUGGAAAGGUCCAAUAAGUCUCUCAGCCAUUUAAAAUUUUUAAUUGGAUUUGUGGUUGGAUUUUAGAAGUUUUUUAUAUAUUCUAUAUAUUACACUCUUAUGGGAUAUUUUCUCCCAUUCUCUAUAUGGCCUUUCCUAAUAAUGCUCGUUGACUGCACAAGUCUUCAGUUUUGAUAGUGUCCAAUUUAUGUUUGCUUUAGUGAGAGACCAUCACCUAAAGGUCAUGAAAGUUUACACCCAUGUGUUCUUCAAAUAGUUUCAUACUUUUAAUCCUUUAUUUAAGACUUUGGUUCACUUUGAUUUAGUUUUUGUAUAUGGUUGUGAAGUAAGGAUAAUCUUUAUAUUUUUAAAUGUUUACAUCUUAUGUGAUCAUUUAAGUGCCUACACAAUGUACUUAAUUUGUAUUCUUGACACAUAAAGCCUAAAAUAUUUGCUAUCUGGGUUCUUCAUAUAAAAAGCUUGCCAACCCCUAUAGCAAGAUGCAGCCUUUGCAUAUAAGGUGUUUAAUAAAUGUUUAAUGGAUAUAUUCAUUCAACAAAUAUUUAUGAACCUUCUACUGAACACAAAGCACUUACCAAUGUAUUAUGGGGUAGGAAGAGGUUUCAAAGAUAAAUGAGAAAUCAUUAAGGUCCUUAUCAAAUUUAUUACAUCUAAGUAAUAGUUAAGUUUACCUAGCCAAGAUGCCAAAUGCUAGGGAUUAAAAAGUUUUCUUUGUAAAUGUCAGUCCUGAAUGGUGACAAAAGCUGAAAUGUAACAAUUAUUUCAAAUUGUCUUUAGAACAAGAUACAUAAUAAUUUAGAAAGAUACACGUAAUAGAGUGUACAUGCACGUCCACACUCAUUUCCUUUUCUUUGGUAAAUUCUAGAGAAAUUAACAGAGCUGUUGAACUACUAAGAAUGAUUGGAAUUACUGUCACAGGAGAAAGAAAAACAUUGGCACCACAAGCUGAUCUUUCUGCACCCUUUUUUGUUAGUAGGAUAGUCUUGUGUAGGCAGCAAAGAGAGCAUGUUAUUGCUUAUCUGUGGAUCCAAGAAAUGAAAUUAAAAUGUUCUUGCAACUGAAAUCUGUCUUGUGUAUCACAGUCCUCUAGAAGUGACCCAGUGUCCCUGCUCAUGAGUGGGAAAGGACACAUUUUACAUUUCAAUCUCUCUUAAUGGAUAGAGGUACAAAUGAGGCAAACACAAAAAACACGAAUCUGACCCCCUUUGUGAGGCUUUAUGUCAACAAAUCCUUUGAAAAGUGUAUGAGUUAGGGUUUGCGUUUGUAACAGGAAACUCAACAGAACAGUGACAUAAGCCAGAGCCCUCAUUUUACCUGUGUAAAUAAGGCCUGCAGGUAGGAGUCAGGGCACACUGGCGCUCCUUCCACACAGCUAUCUUCAGCAUGUGGGUUGAUGAUCCGGGCACAACUGGCUCCUCCACCCUCACCUCCACUUUUGCAUCUAUAUAGCAGGGAGAAGGGAAGGGAAGGGGCAAAAUGUAUGUGCUGGAUGAAUCUGUGCUCUUUUCUAGAAUCUUCCCUCAGUGACCUUCAUGUCCUUCUUAUUGGACAGAACUGUGUCACAGGGCAAUUUCUAAUUUCAAGAGAAAUGUAGCUUUAUAGCUAGGUCCAAAUAAGGGACCUAUCAAUUAAGGAAAAAAAGUUAAGGGUGUAUCCCACAUAUACUGUUCUCACUUGGAAACCCAAUGCUGACAACUUCUGUAAUCUCUAACAUACACAUGAUUUACCAAGAAGUUUACUAAAAUGCAGACUGGGAUUCAACAGAACUAGGGAGGAGUUUGCAAAUGAUGACCAUACUCCAAAAUAGGAAAAUCAACGAGUCUUCUCUUCAGUCAGAAAAGAAUCAACUGAUUUCUUGCUUUUGGUUUAAUGUAUGAUUUAAAAAUUUAAAUCAUAUUUUUCACAUGCUACUAUGAUGAAAUAAGAACAACUCAAGUGAUCUGUAGUAUCUUUGCAAAUAUAUUUUGAGCUAUAAUCACAUAAUGAAAACACCAUCAAAUAAACAGAAACUGUGGGAUUUUGUACAAGUGGCCUCAACUUGUCAAAAAAAAUUAAUGGCAUGACAAACAACAGAGGCAGGAGAACUAUUCUAGAUUAAAGAGACUAAGAACACAACAGCCAAAUGCAGUGCAUAAACCUUGAUCAUUCCUGAAUUUAAAAAAUAAUCAGCCCUAAAAGAUAUUUUAGAGACAACUGGGUAAAUUUAAAUUUGAGUCAUAUUGUACAAUUAAGUUACAUUAUGGAAUUUAUAAAUUUUCUUAGGUGUAACCAUACUAGCUUUUGUAAGAGAAGGUCCUUAUUUUAGGGAGUGUCAUUUCAAUUAUUUAGGGGAGAAGAACCAUUAAUGGCUGUAAUUUGCUUUCAAAUAAUUCAGGAAAUAUAUAUUUUGAGAGAGUGAGAGAAAAGAUAAAGCAAAUAUAGAGGACCAUAUUAACAAUUAAUGAAUUUAGGUAGAGCGUUUACAAGUGUUUAUUGCUAUGUUUGAAAAUUUCCAGGUAGAGAGUAGAAAAAAAAUUAGUCUUAUAGUUGUAGCACAUAGAGGUGAGGAAUUGGCUUUUUCUUUUCUUUAGAAGUAUCCUAAGAAAUAACCAUUUGCAAGUAAGAAGACAACACAGCAGCAUCCUUAACAAGAAAACACUUCUAAUAGAAACAUUUUUUAAUUUUUUAUCCUGAAGAGCUUUCCUCCUCCAUGAUCCCAAGUCCCUUGGGACACAUUGCAGUACUUUCAGGGUAGGUCCAAAGUAAAUAUAUAAAGUAUGUGGCUAGACCUGUGUCCCUGAGAGGACCAGGGGUUUCAUUAGAAGAGUGGAAUCCUACUAAUUUCUUUUUUUUUUCUUAAAUUCUUUUAUUGGUACAUUUUAGGUAUACAAUACAUUUACAUUUAUCUUUGGGUGCUUGUACCUGUACAUGAUGUAUCUUGGUUCUCAUUUUUCCCCAUUACCUGUGCACCCUUCACUCCUAAACCCUUCCCUAUUUACAUACUUUGUUUCCAUUUUUUUUUCUUUUCUCAUAAUUUUUCCUUUCCAUUCUUUCCUUUCCCCUUCCCCUCCCACCACCCCUAUCCCUUUGGACCUUUUCCUAUUUCAAAGUAUCAAUUAUUAGUUAUUAAUCCUUCUAGUCCUUAUUUACACUCUCAGUUUCUCACACUAGAGAAACUGUUCAGUAUUUACACAUGUGUGUCCUAUUUAUUUCACUUAAGAGUAUGGCCUCGAUAUGCAUCCAUUUAGCUAUAAAUGACUCUAGUUUCUCAUUCUUUAUGGCUGAGUAGUACUCCAUUUUAUAAAAAAACCCACAUCUUCUUUAUCCAGUUUCCAGUUGAUGGGCAUUUGGGCUGUUUUCAAGCUUUCACUAUUACAAACUGUGCUGCAAUAAAUAUGAGUGCACAUAUAUCACUGUGGUAUGAUUCUUUUAAUUCUUUUGGGAAAUACCCAGGAGGGAAAUAGCUGGGUCAAAUGGGACCUCUAGUCCUAGUUCUCUGAGGUCUCUCCAUACUGAUUUCCACAGUGGUUGCACCAGUCUGCACUCCCACCAGCAGUGGAGAAGGGUUCCUUUCUCUCCACAACCCCGCCAGCAUUUGUUAUUGGUUGAUUUCUUGAUAGCAGCUACUCUUUCUGGGGUGAGGUGGAAUCUCAGUGUUGUUUUCAUUUGCAUCUCUCGAAUGACCAGUGAUGUUGAACAUUUUUUCAUAUGUUUAUUUGCUGCUUUUACUUCUUUGUCUGAGAAAUGUCUGUUCAUUUCAGAUGCCCAUUUUUGAAUUGGGUCUUUGAAUUUGGGGAGUCUGAUUUUUUCAGUUCUUUACAUAUUCUAGAUAGUAGUCCUUUGUCUGAGGUACAGCUGCUAAAAAUUUUUCCCACAUUGUAGGUUGUCUGUUAGCUCUGUUGGUGGUUUCUCUUACAGUUCAUACAGUUCAGAAGCUUUUUAAUAAGAUGAGAUCCAAGUUGUUCAUUCUUUGUGCUAGUUCCCCUGCUACUGAGGUUUUGUUCAUAAAGUCUUUUCCUAUGCCAAUGACUCCAAGAGUUCUACCUAACUUAUCUUCCAGCAAGUUUAGUGUUUCUGUCUUAAUAUUUAGAUCUUCAAUCCACUUUGAUCUUAGUUCAGUGCAUGGUGAUAGGUAUGGGUCUAGUUUUAAUCUUUGGCAGGUUGAAAUCCAAUUUUUCCAACACCAUUUAUUAAAUAGGCUAUCUUUCCUCCAAUGAGGGUGGUUGGCUCCUUUGUCAAAGAUGAGGUGGCUGAGUAUGUCUGGAAUUGCUUCUGCAUCUUCUAAUCUAUUCCACUGAUCCUUGGGUCUGUUUCUUUGCCAGUAUCAUGCUGUUUUUAUCACAGUAGCUUUGUAGUAUAGCUUCAGGUUGGGGAUUGUGAUACCCCCAGCCAUGUCUCUGUUGCCCAGAAUUACUUUUGUUAUUCUAGGUCUCUUCUGGUUCCAAAUGAAUUUUUGGAUUGUUUUCUCUAGCUCUUGUGAAGUAUAUUAUUGGAAUUUCAAUCAGCAUUGCAUUAAAGCUAUAUAGUAGUUUUGGAAGUAUGGCCAUUUUCACUACAUUGGUUCUUCCUACCCAGAAACAAGAGAUGUUUUUCCAUUUUCUUAUAUCCUCCUCGAUCUCCUUUUUCAGGGUGCUGUAGUUUUCAGUGUAGAGGUCUUUUGCUUCCUUUGUUAGAUUGAUUCCUAGAUAUUUCAUUUUUUGGAUGCUAUUGUAAAAGGAAUUGCUUCCCUAAUUUCUCUCUCAGUGAGUCUGCUAUUUGUGUAUAAGAAGGCUAUUGUUUUUUGAGUGUUGACCUUAUAUCCAGCUACUCUACUGAAUCUGUCAAUUAAGUCUAGAAGUCUUUUGGCCGAGUUUUUUGGGUCUUCUACGUAAAGUAUCAUAUCAUCAGCAAAUAAUGACAGUUUAACUUCUUCCUUUCCUAUCUUUAUUCCUUUUAUUUCUUUCUCUUUUCUGAUUGCUGUGGCUAAUGUUUCCAGAACUAUAUUGAACAGGAGUGGUGGUAGUGGGCAUCCUUGUCUUGUUCCUGAUUUUAGCGUGAAAGUUUUCAGGCUUUGACCAUUUAGUAUGAUGUUGGCUGUUGCUUUUAUAUAGAUAGCCUUAAUCAGGUUGAGAUAAAGACCUUCUAUUCCAAUUUUCUGUAGCGUUUUUAUCAUGAAUGGGUGUUGGAUUUUGUCGAAUGCCUUUUCUGCAUCUAUUGAGAUGAUCAUAUGGUUUUUGUCCUUGAUUCUGUUAAUAUAGUGUAUUACAUUUAUUGAUUUAUGAAUGUUGAACCAUCCUUGCAUCCCAGGGAUAAAUCCGACUUGGUCAGGGUGUAUGAUCUUCUUGAUGACCCUCUGUAUUCUAUUUGCCAGUAUCUUGUUGAGGACUUUUGCAUCUAUGUUCAUUAGGGAGAUUGGCCUGUAGUUCUCUUUUUGGGUUGGGUCUUUCCCUGGUUUUGGAAUCAAAGUAACACUUGCUUCCAGGAAUGAAUUUGGAAGUAUUGCUUCCCUUUCAAUUUCCUUGAUGAGUUUAAAGAGUAAUGGCAAUAGUUCUUCUUUAAAUGUCUUGUAGGAUUCAGCAGUGAAGCCAUCGGUACCUGAGCUUUUCUUUGUUGGUAAAUUUUUUAUUACAUUUUCAACUUCACUCAUUGUAAUUGGGGUGUUUAGAAUUUCUAUAUCUUCUUCAUUUAACUUUGGCAAUUCAUAUGUAUCUAGGAAUCUGUCCAUUUCUUCUGUGUUUUCCAUUUUAUUAGAGUACAGGUUCUUGAAGUGUAGGUAUUGAUGAUCCUCUGGAUUUCUGAUGGUUCUGUUGUGACUUCCCCUUUUUCAUUCUUAAUUGCAUGGAUUUGAGUCUUUUCUUUCCUUUUUUUGAUAAGGUUGGCUAAAGGUUUAUUGAUUUUAUUUAUUCUUUCAAAAAACCAACUCUUUGAUUCAUUAAUUUUUUGUGUCAUUCUCUUAGUCUCCAUUGCAUUGGUUUCUUCUCUGAUCUUUAUAAUUUCCUCUCUUGUGUGGGCUUUGGGUUUAUUAUUCUCUUCUUUUUCUAGGAGCUUGAGGUUCUGCAUUAGAUUAUUUAUCUGAGUUCUCUCUGUUUUCCUAAUAUGGGCAUUCACUGCUAUGAAUUUCCCUCGUAGAACUGCCUUCAUUGUGUCCCAUAGAUUCCUGUAUGUUGUACUGGCAUUAUCAUUUACUUGUAGAAACUGUCUAAUUUCGUCUUUAAUUCCCUUCACUUUUCCAGUGGGCUUGUUUUCAUCAGGGAGCCUGAGACAGGCACUCUCUCUGUUGUUCACUUCUGGAGCUCAGGACAAUGGCUUUUGUUCCCCUGUGCCUCUGCAGUGUGUAACCAAGUAGCUGCACAGCCAAAAGGCCAGAGGCUGGCGGUGGGGUGGGGGUGUGUGUUGUAUUGUUGGAGGCACCCGCGUGACC